This 107-nucleotide small nuclear RNA is filed under the name Salvator merianae (Argentine black and white tegu). Lineage: Eukaryota; Metazoa; Chordata; Lepidosauria; Squamata; Teiidae. The record is from RNAcentral.
GUUUGAUCAAAAUGAAACAACCUCUAAUCUUGUGAAAGCAGAAUAGGAGAUUAGCAUGGCCCCUACAGAAGGAUGUCUCGCAAAUUCGUGAAGCGUUCCUUAUUUAA